Molecule: ribosomal RNA, 550 nt
Filed under: uncultured archaeon
Lineage: Archaea
Description: bacterial SSU rRNA
Rfam family: Archaeal small subunit ribosomal RNA
Source: RNAcentral
GAUCAGGCUGUUGGUGAGGUAAUGGCCCACCAAACCUGUAACCGGUACGGGCUCUGAGAGGAGGAGCCCGGAGAUGGGCACUGAGACAAGGGCCCAGGCCCUAUGGGGCACAGCAGGCGCGAAACCUCUGCAAUAGGCGAAAGCUUGACAGGGUUACUCUGAGUGAUUUCCGUUAAGGAGAUCUUUUGGCACCUCUAAAAAUGGUGCAGAAUAAGGGGUGGGCAAGUCUGGUGUCAGCCGCCGCGGUAAUACCAGCACCCCGAGUGGUCGGGACGUUUAUUGGGCCUAAAGCAUCCGUAGCCGGUUCUACAAGUCUUCCGUUAAAUCCACCUGCUUAACAGAUGGGCUGCGGAAGAUACUAUAGAUCUAGGAGGCGGGAGAGGCAAGCGGUACUCGAUGGGUAGGGGUAAAAUCCGUUGAUCCAUUGAAGACCACCAGUGGCGAAGGCGGCUUGCCAGAACGCGCUCGACGGUGAGGGAUGAAAGCUGGGGGAGCAAACCGGAUUAGAUACCCGGGUAGUCCCAGCUGUAAACGAUGCAGACUCGGUGAU